AUCGCUCAAGUGUUACGGCAGCACAACAGAUUCCAAACCUGUUGGACGGGGUUCAAUUCCUCGGAGCGGUG
This 71-nucleotide transfer RNA is filed under the name Aurantimicrobium minutum. RNAcentral describes it as "tRNA-Trp". It matches the Rfam family "tRNA". From Rfam's summary of the family: Transfer RNA (tRNA) molecules are approximately 80 nucleotides in length. Their secondary structure includes four short double-helical elements and three loops (D, anti-codon, and T loops). Lineage: Bacteria; Bacillati; Actinomycetota; Actinomycetes; Micrococcales; Microbacteriaceae. The record is from RNAcentral.